UACGUAGGUGGCGAGCGUUGUCCGGAUUUACUGGGCGUAAAGAGCGCGCAGGCGGUCGUACAAGUCGCGUGUGAAAGCCCCCGGCUCAACUGGGGAGGGUCACGCGAUACUGUUCGACUCGAAGGCAGGAGAGGGUAGUGGAAUUCCCGGUGUAGUGGUGAAAUGCGUAGAUAUCGGGAGGAACACCAGUGGCGAAGGCGGCUUUCUGGUCUGCUCUUGACGCUGAGGCGCGAAAGCUAGGGUAGCAAACGGG
RNAcentral lists this ribosomal RNA (253 nucleotides) under uncultured bacterium. RNAcentral describes it as "partial 16S ribosomal RNA". It matches the Rfam family "Bacterial small subunit ribosomal RNA", at positions 524 to 776 of the family's 1533-position model. The record is from RNAcentral.